Ceratitis capitata (Mediterranean fruit fly) is the source of this 869-nucleotide long non-coding RNA. RefSeq lists it as uncharacterized. The transcript has 3 exons. The record is from RefSeq and is a predicted model, not a curated record. NCBI's taxonomy places the organism in Eukaryota, Metazoa, Arthropoda, Insecta, Diptera, Tephritidae.
AAUCGAGGUUGAUUCAGUAAAAUCGUAACAAUAUGCAUGAAAGCGAUCCCAGCAAGAACACUAUAAGUCUUAGUUUACUUAGGUUACUUUUGUCGCUUAUUAUCGUAAUUUUCUUAUUAGUGUCGCCAUUCACCUUCCCACAAGCAAUUCUUUUGACAUUUGUUUUUUUUUCAUUCGAUCUCAAUUUAAAUCUAUCAAUUUUUCGUUCGCUUCGCGCUUUUUAAUAUAUCUAAAAUAAAAACGCCAUGUUUGUGUAAAGGAAGACUAAGCUUUUAUUUAUCUAUUUCUUUUAAACAUUUUUACACUCGAUUAAAACUCAACUCUACCCUUUCCAAAGUGUAAUCUAAUUACAUAUCCCUGCCAAAACACUCACAAGGUUUCGGGCAGCACUAGCAGAUAAGAAAGUUGUUUUAUUUAUCUUUCUCUUCUGACUAUAUACAAAUUAAAGACAAUUCAGUUGAACAGAUUAACCGAUUUAUUUUGUUCUUAUUUUCGAGUAAAAUGCCAUUUCGCAUCGUUUUCUCCGCAUCAUAUAGAAUUGAAAAAUAUAUAAUGAGGAUCCUAUACAAGCUGUGGGCACUCCAUACUGUACGGAAAAUGGAGCAUAUUGAUUGGAAUGGACGCUUAUCACUUUGCAGCAACAGCAGAUUUAAAAAUAUUCUAUAAAACUGUGCGAGGAGUCGCGAUCAUGACGGAGGCGUAUGUAGAGCUGAGGAGCUGAAUUACCAACACAUGACAUGGUUUUGCUUACAAUGUAUUGCAGAUUUUUGAAAACGAAUUUAUUGUUGUAUUGUAAUUUCUUUUGUAGGCUAUGCAAACCAUGUAAAAGAUCUAUGUAAUAUAUUGGAAUAAAGACUGAAUCUUAAUAA